Molecule: long non-coding RNA, 403 nt
Organism: Sorghum bicolor (sorghum)
Lineage: Eukaryota; Viridiplantae; Streptophyta; Magnoliopsida; Poales; Poaceae
Exons: 3
Source: RefSeq, a predicted model, not a curated record
UAUUAGGGUUUUAUCCUCUACGCGCCGCCAUCCAAGAUCAAUCUGUCGCUUAUAAAUUUCUGUUGGUGCCAUCAAUUGGCGACUCGACGUCUGCCAGGUCUGGAGUUCGAGACGGAGUUCCGCAUCAUCCAAAUCGAAGGCCACUUGUAUCGAGUUGAAAUUGAUCGAGGGCUUCAAGUUGCAGAUCGUGUGUUCCUGUGCAUGGGUGGAGAUUUGGUGAAUUUUGUUACACGAGCCUCUUCCCUCCUACACGAUGUAGCAGCAGCUGCUCCAUGGCUGCAAGGCCAUGUUCGGGAAGAACUUUACAGCAAAGACGAUGAGCAAUCCUUGGUGAAUCAGAGUGCUUCAGUGAUCAAGAUCAGAGCCUUGGACAACCAGUAAGACCAGCAAGAUCAGCAAGAGC